GACGUAGGAGGCGAGCGUUGUCCGGAUUCAUUGGGCGUAAAGAGCGCGCAGGCGGCUCGGUAAGUCGGUUGUGAAAUUCCGGGGCUCAACCCCGGGACUGCGUCCGAUACUGUCGGGCUAGAGGUAGGUAGGGGAGAUCGGAAUUCCUGGUGUAGCGGUGAAAUGCGCAGAUAUCAGGAGGAACACCGGUGGCGAAGGCGGAUCUCUGGGCCUUACCUGACGCUCAGGCGCGAAAGCUAGGGGAGCGAAC
This 250-nucleotide ribosomal RNA is filed under the name uncultured bacterium. Its description in RNAcentral is "partial 16S ribosomal RNA". It matches the Rfam family "Bacterial small subunit ribosomal RNA", at positions 524 to 773 of the family's 1533-position model. The record is from RNAcentral.